CCUACGGGUGGCAGCAGUGAGGAAGAUUGGUCAAUGGGCGGAAGCCUGAACCAGCCAAGUCGCGUGAGGGAAGAAGGCCCUACGGGUUGUAAACUUCUGUUAUAAAGGAAUAAAGUGAGGCACGUGUGCCUUUUUGUAUGUACUUUAUGAAUAAGGAUCGGCUAACUCCGUGCCAGCAGCCGCGGUAAUACGGAGGAUCCGAGCGUUAUCCGGAUUUAUUGGGUUUAACGGGAGCGUAGAGGGGUUGUUAAGUCAGUUGUGAAAGUUUGCGGCUCAACCGUAAAAUUGCAAUUGAUACUGGCAGUCUUGAGUACAGUUGAGGUAGGCGGAAUUCGUGGUGUAGCGG
Molecule: ribosomal RNA, 346 nt
Filed under: uncultured bacterium
Lineage: Bacteria
Description: partial 16S ribosomal RNA
Rfam family: Bacterial small subunit ribosomal RNA
Source: RNAcentral